CCUACGGGUGGCAGCAGUGAGGAAUAUUGGUCAAUGGGCGAGAGCCUGAACCAGCCAAGUCGCGUGAAGGAUGAAGGAUCUAUGGUUUGUAAACUUCUUUUAUAUGGGAAUAAAGUGAGGAACGCGUUCCUUUUUGUAUGUACCAUAUGAAUAAGCAUCUGCUAACUCCGUGCCAGCAGCCGCGGUAAUACGGAGGAUGCGAGCGUUAUCCGGAUUUAUUGGGUGUAAAGGGUGCGUAGGUGGUUAAUUAAGUCAGCGGUGAAAGUUUGUGGCUCAACCAUAGAAGUGCCGUUGAAACUGGUUGACUUGAGUGUAGAUGAGGAAGGCGGAAUGCGAGGUGUAGCGGUGGAAUGCAUAGAUAUCACGCAGAACUCCGAUUGCGAAGGCAGCUUACUAGACUAUAACUGACGCUGAGGCACGAAAGCGUGGGGAUCGAACAGGAUUAGAUACCCUUGUAGUC
This 460-nucleotide ribosomal RNA is filed under the name uncultured bacterium. Its description in RNAcentral is "partial 16S ribosomal RNA". It matches the Rfam family "Bacterial small subunit ribosomal RNA", at positions 338 to 795 of the family's 1533-position model. The record is from RNAcentral.